RNAcentral lists this long non-coding RNA (451 nucleotides) under Homo sapiens (human). RNAcentral's name for it is "non-protein coding MIR99AHG:93". The record is from RNAcentral. Lineage: Eukaryota; Metazoa; Chordata; Mammalia; Primates; Hominidae.
AGUUGUAUAGGCAUGUCAAAAUGACUUUAUACAGUCAAUAUGAAACAAGCAUUAAAUAUUUUUUCUCAUGUUGUUGCUUUUAUCAUUAUGAAUUCCUUGCUUGUUGCCACCUAAGAUACGAUGGAGCAAGCACAGUCUUAAAGAAGAUUUGCUGAUUUUUUGUUUUUCUCAGCAGACCAGAGACAUCCAUAAAAAUUCAUCAGAGAGCAUUUUACUACUGAGCUGCAAAGAUGACAAGAGCACCUCAAAGGCAGCAGCCUCAAGGAGCAGCCAUGGCCCCAGACUUGUCGCACGGAUGCAGAAAACUUAAUGGAGGAGGCUGAGCAAAACAGAGCGUGACACUCCCAAUCAUCUGCAUGCUGGAAAUGAGGAAAUGGUUAUUGAAUGAUACAAGUGCUUUUCGAUCAUUUAGAAAGUUCUGUUUCCCAAGAUCUUUUUUUUUUUUUUUUUU